UAAUGAAUUGAUGAGAAAUACAAUGAAGAUCCAAUGUGCAUCUCAAAAUACUGCUUUUACAAAAGCAGAAUUUAAAACAAGUGAAAUGAAAUGA
This 94-nucleotide long non-coding RNA is filed under the name Saimiri boliviensis boliviensis (Bolivian squirrel monkey). Its description in RNAcentral is "Metastasis associated lung adenocarcinoma transcript 1 (ENSSBOG00000019294.1)". It matches the Rfam family "Metastasis associated lung adenocarcinoma transcript 1". Rfam says of the family: MALAT 1 (metastasis associated lung adenocarcinoma transcript 1) is also known as NEAT2 (noncoding nuclear-enriched abundant transcript 2). Lineage: Eukaryota; Metazoa; Chordata; Mammalia; Primates; Cebidae. The record is from RNAcentral.